Molecule: non-coding RNA, 3370 nt
Organism: Camelina sativa (false flax)
Lineage: Eukaryota; Viridiplantae; Streptophyta; Magnoliopsida; Brassicales; Brassicaceae
Source: RefSeq, a predicted model, not a curated record
CAAACAAUUUAUUUUAUUUUUCCCUUUUUUCUCUUUAUUUUUCUGCAUUUCUUCGCGUUAUUUUCUCCAAACGAAGAGAAAUUUUGGCUCACUUUUGAUCUUGUUGAUUAACAAAUCUCGAAUCAAACUACUGAUCAAACAAUCUUCAGUCAGAGGUAUUGAUUAAGCAAUCAAAACAACAAAUCAGAAAUUCUGACCAAUCGACGAGAGAUUUGAGAGUCUUCUCCACCAAAGUCGAUGGUUAACCAAUCUCCAUCUGAUGGUAUAUCGAAGAACUGACGGAAAGGGAUGAGAAGAAGGUGGAGUAGAGAUUGGUUGAUGAUAACGGAGAUAAUUGGUUAGCAGAGGAAACAUGAUUGUGUUGACCACAAAGAGGGCACUGGUUUGUUGGUGCUCAUGAAUGAGUUUCGCUGGUGGGAUCGUGUCUCUGAGGUAUAACUAUUAUUGAUUUUUGAGCUGGUUUAUGUUGGGAUCAUUUCCGAUUGUUUUGUUUGGUCUCUUGUUUAAAUUAUGUUAUCUGGAUUUGAGUAUGCUAAUACUUGUCUCUCUUAAUCUUGUUUCUAUAUUUUCUAUUACUGGGAGCUAUUCCAUUCCCAUCUGAUGUUUCACAGCUGAAAGAGUUUGGUGUAUGUGGAUCCAUUUGAAGGACGUGAUAGAGCCAUUGAUGAGGUUUCAAACCCUCGAAAGUAUACUGAUAACGACAUAGCAGGAUCACGAAGUUCAUAUUCAAGAGACUCUGUUGUUAACUCUAGGGGUAUAGAAGACAGGCGUUUUGUUGCCAAAGACUUAUAUAGAUUCCAGGGACGUGAUAAAGCUUAUGAUGAGGUUUAUAAUCCUCAAAAGUUCAGUAAUAACGAGAGAUGAGGAUCAUAUUCAAAAGGCUCUUCUGGUAACUCUCGGGGUUGGGAUGAUAGGCGUUCGGUUGUAUAUGCAAGAGAUAAGGACGAUUGGUUUACCAUUCUUCUUUACCAUGAUGCAGGCUCUUCUGUUAUUGAUGGAAAGAGUUGUAUUGUAGCUGACCAAAGUGGAUCAGGCAAGACUCUAUCAACACCCUAUGAUUUGAGGUUGGGUCCCCAGUUCAAGCAAGGGCGGAGAGUAUCCUGAAAUCAUGACUCCUGCACACUUAUCCUCACUUUUUAUUUGAGUUCAACAUACUUUUUUUUUAUAACCGAUUUUUUCUUGCCUCAGGAUAAAAAGCAAGUCUCAAGAUAUUUAUCAAGUUACUCCUCCUAUCAAAUCAACCACAGAGGUUUUUCAAUGACUCAUUUGGAAGACCUCGAUUUACAAGAACACCACACAGCCUCCGGGCGAUGCAGGUCUUUCACAUUCUCGAUGCAAGUCUUUCAAUUUCGUUUUCUUCGCUUAACACUGGCUGUAAAACCAAGUGCUCCCAAAGUAGGUAAGUAUAUUGAUUUUUUUUCUAGAUUAGGUAAGCCUUGAGUGUUGAAUUGAUUGUGUUUAAGUUUGUUGGUUGUGAUAAAUGCUUCUUAGAUGAUGCUUAGGUGUUUACAUCAUACUUAAUGUUCGAUAGGAUGUGGUUAUGGUCUUUGUGUGUUUUAGUUUAGGUAAACUCUUUAUUUUGACAUUGAUUGCUAACACCAACACAAACCAAAAUGUUUUAACACUAACAUACAUCAAACAUCAUAAAUACAAGUCUCCCUCUUCAUUCCCAAAUACACACCUACAUAAAUAAAAGCCUUCCUCUCCAUUAUCCUUUAGCAAUCUCUUUCCUUUUCUUUUUAACAACCACACAGAAAAAAAGAUAUGGAUUCACCCGAUUCCAUGAAUCCUUAUAACUCUUGCUUCAUGGACCUCUUACAUAGUCAACAAGAAACCCAAAAUGUAGACGCCAAUCCUUACGACAGUUCAUCACAAGUCCCUGUUUUUAGUACCCAUUGUCCCCAUGAUGCUCCAAGUGAAGAUGGAUCCACACAAAUAGGCCGUAGAACAAGAAAGACAUGUUCACCAGCAGAUGAUGUUCUGCUCAUCAGUACAUGGGCUAAACACGAGCAAGGAUCCAACCACUUCAAAUAAGCAAAAAGGUGGAACAUUUUGGUCUCAGAUUGCAAAAUAUUUUGCAGCAAGUCCAAAGGAUGCAGGUCGGCCACAUAGAGAGGCCAUGCAUUGUAAGCAGAGGUGGGGGAAGAUCAAUGAUAUAGUGUGAAAGUUUGUUGGUUGCUAUGAGGCAGUAGAAAAGCAGAGAUCAAGUGGGAUGAAUGAAGAUGAUGUUAUGAAGAUAGCACUCCAAAUAUACUUCAAUGAUCAUAAGGUGAAGUUCACCUUGGAGCAUGCAUGGCGAGAGCUUAGGCAUGACCAUAAAUGGUGUUCAUCUUCAUCUACUAGAGGGACUACAACAACAAAAAGAAGAAAGUGCGGAGAUGGCUCUGCUCAGUCUUCAAGCUCCCAACCACAUGAAGAGGAUGAAUCAAUAACUCGGCCACCUGGUAUUAAAGCUUCAAAGGGAAAAUCGAAAAGGACUGUGAACAAUACAUUAACUGCCGAGGAGCAAGCGAAGGAUUUGCUAUAAGAGAGAAGGAGUAUGCAUUGAAGGAAAAGCAUAGCAAGCAUAUCAUGCUUGAGAGUCUACUUGCAAAAGCAGAGCCACUUAGUGAAGCAGAUAUGACUUGAAAGGAGAAGCUCAUUUCUGAAAUGUUUUCAAAAUAAAAUUUGUAACAGUUUAUGUAAUCGGUUGAACGUUUUUUUGUUUAUAUGAGUGAAAGUAUUCACUUCUAUGUAAUCGGUUGAAUGAUUUUUGUUUGGUUGAGUGAAAGUUAUCAGUUUAUGUAAUCGGUUGAAUGUUAUGUGUUCAUGAUAUCAGUUUAUGUAAUCGGUUGAAUGUUAUGUGUUCACGAUAUCAGUUUAUGUAAUCGGUUGAAUGUUAUGUGUUCUGAAAUGUUAUCAGCCUACUCUGAGUCAAGCAUAUCAUGGAUGAGCAAAAAGACAUCGUUCCAGAUGUGUACUUGUUUCGAGAUAUGCUUCGGACAUGUCAAGAAGUCUGGUCUUCAGGAUAACUCCAGCAUUUAUACUACAACCAACAUCACUUUCACUUAGAGGCAAAAAAGAUUUGUCUUGAUUCGAAAGAUCAUGAUCACUGAGAUUUGUAAAGAAAUAAACUUUGCUCUGUUCUUCCUUCAGUGUUUUGUUCUGUGGACCGGCCCGGAGAGUGAUCUGUGAGAUGUGUGGAAGAUAUAGAGAUGUGUUCAAAGAGUGUUUGCUCUGUUUUUUGUUUACCACACAAUUUUAUCAACUACAGUUCUCUAUUUUUUUUUUGUAACCUUGACUACAAAUUUUUACCAAGUACAGCUCUCUAUUUUUGUUUUUUUGUAACUUUUACCACAAAUUUUUACCAAGUACAGCUCUCUAUUUUGUU